AAUACUGUUGGGUUGUAUGUGUGUGUGUGAAACUGGAUUAUGUGUAGGAUUCUGUUUUAGAUGUUGCAUGAAUGCGGAAUGAAAAUUUUAUUUUGUAACGCUUUCGAAGCUAAUGUUGCAUUGCCUCGGUUGUUUUAUGAUAUAGUACUUUGUUUUUGUGUUUUUGUUUAGCUUUUUGAGUUUGUCUGUUUGUUUGUUUGUUUGUUCGUUUUUUUUUUUUUUUUUUUUUUUUUCUGAUGUUUGGAUUUGUUGUUGGACUGAUGAAAUGUGGGUUGGACUGAAGUUGUGUGCAUAAAACUAGAUUUUUAAAUUUUAUUAUUAUCAAAAACCAUUUAUUAUUUAUAAUAUUUUAUAAUUUUAAGAUAAUAUUUUUAUAAUUUAUAAUAUUUGUAAUAUUUAUUUUUA
RNAcentral lists this long non-coding RNA (405 nucleotides) under Physcomitrium patens. RNAcentral's name for it is "long non-coding RNA (PPAT_LNC003039)". Lineage: Eukaryota; Viridiplantae; Streptophyta; Bryopsida; Funariales; Funariaceae. The record is from RNAcentral.